This 34-nucleotide ribosomal RNA is filed under the name Helicoma morganii. RNAcentral's name for it is "partial 18S ribosomal RNA". RNAcentral also lists the same sequence under 1 other name. The record is from RNAcentral. Lineage: Eukaryota; Fungi; Ascomycota; Dothideomycetes; Tubeufiales; Tubeufiaceae.
UUAUUUUACAGGUGAACCUGCGGAAGGAUCAUUA